GCAAUAGAGAGAGAAAGAGAGGGAGAGGAGAGAGAGAGAAACGAAAAAAAAAGAAAAAAGAGAAGGGGGGAGUGAGUGUGCGUGUGUGUGAGUAGAAGUAGGAGGGAGAGCAAGAAAAAUAGCGAGCGAAGCUGAGAAACCAAACAAGGAAUUUCGCAGAAUUCAUCCAUUUUGUACAGACAUUUGCGUGUUUGGCCCAUUUUGGAGUUUUUGUAGGCUUCAUAGCCAGUCAAAGUCGAUCUGAAUGAGUCGUUUAGGGUUUAAAUCCUUGGUUUACCAUGGCGACUUGUUUUUGGGGGAAUUGGAUGUUAUUUCGGUUAAGGAUCAGAAUUUCCAGUUCCCAAACAACGAGAUACGCAUCCACCGGAUUUCGCCACCAAGCGAACGAUGUCCUCCCCUCUCGAUUCUCCAAACGAUUUCUUCAUUUUCCGUUCGUUGCAAGCUUGAAUCGUCUUCUCCCGUCGAUCAGCCGCAUUUGAUCAAUCUUCACGCUUCUUGCCACUACGAAUUGAAGACAGCUGUGGUAUUGGCUGGAGAUGAAGAAAUUCACUUGGUAGCGAUGCUGAGUAAGCAGAAAAAGUAUCCACGCUUUUGGUGCUAUUCAGUUCCGAAAGGUUUGUAUAAUGCUUCUAUAGGAAUGUUGAAUAUGCGGUGUCUAUCGAUCGUAUUCGAUCUUGACGAGACUCUAAUUGUUGCGAAUACCAUGAAGUCGUUUGAGGAUAGAAUUGAGGUUCUACGUAGCUGGAUUGCGCGCGAGAUUGAUCCUAUGCGCCUGGCCGGAAUGAAUGCAGAGCUAAAGCGCUACUGUGAUGAUCGAUUGAUCUUAAAGCAAUAUGCGGACAAUGAUACUGUGAUGGAUAACGGGAAGAUGUAUAAGGUUCAAAUGGAGGAAGUUCCUCCGUUAUCUGAUAACUAUGAAAGAAAAGUCCGGCCUGUAAUUAGAUUGCAAGAUAAGAAUAUUGUCUUAACUCGCAUUAAUCCCGAGAUUCGUGAUACUAGUGUGCUUGUGCGGCUACGACCUGCAUGGGAAGAUUUGAGAAGUUACUUAACCGCAAGAGGAAGGAAAAGAUUUGAAGUUUAUGUUUGUACAAUGGCUGAAAGAGACUAUGCUUUAGAAAUGUGGAGGCUUCUUGACCCGGGGUCACAUCUUAUUGGUUUAAAGCAACUUCUGGGUCGUGUUGUUUGUGUUAAAUCAGGCUCUAGGAAAUCCUUGAUUAAUGUUUUCCAAGAUGGCGUUUGUCACUCAAAGAUGGCAAUGGUAAUUGAUGACCGCUUAAAGGUUUGGGAAGAUAAGGAUCAACCUAGAGUACAUGUAGUUCCAGCAUUCACUCCCUAUUAUGCUCCUCAGGCAGAGACAGCAAAUGCCGUUCCCGUCCUCUGUGUAGCAAGAAAUGUGGCAUGCAAUGUCAGAGGUUGCUUCUUCAAGGAAUUUGAUGAGGUUUUAUUAAGAAGAAUCUCUGACAUUUUUUAUGAAGAUGAUGUGGUAACUUUACCUCCAUCUCCUGAUGUGAGCAAUUACUUGAUGUCAGAGGAUGCUGGUUUUGUACCAAAUGGAGCUCCACCUAUCAAUGAGGGAAUGAAUGGGAUUGAAGUUGAACGUAGAUUGGGCCAGACUGAUGACAGGCAUAUUAUGGAAUCAACUUCACAUUCUAUGACAAACAAUGCUGAUAUAAGAUCUGAAACCUCUCAGGCACCUGUUCCGAUUCUUCCAAAUGCUAUUAACCCUGCAUCUUUGGGACCACUCCUGCCUUCUCAGAGACCUGGUUUGCUUGGACCUCCUGUUAGACGAGAUAGCUUUUCUGAUCAUGACAUGAAACGAGGAGUUGGUGCUUUGAAGUAUGGUAUAGACUUAAGAAAUCAAAGCUCUGGUGAACCUCCAAUUCUAUCUAGAUUUCCUGCACCAAUUUUAGCACCUCCUGUACAUUCACCAGGUGGUUGGUUGGUAGAUGACGACAUCAAUAGAGGACAGGUAAAGAAUCGUCCUUUGGGGCCUCUUCAAGAGUCUGAUGCAUUAAAGCUAGACAAGCAACGAGUUCAUCAGAACGCAACUUCUUAUAUGCCUUCGAGUUCUACUUCUGCUGGUUUACUUUCACAAACAUCUGAGGUCAAGGCUGAAGAGGCUCACAUUGGGAAUAAUUUGCAGAUGCCAAAACUUCCUCUUGCCAGUCAGCUACCUGUUUCUGGUGUAUUGCAAAAUCAGCCAUUUUUCAACAAUAGAGACCUCCAUGCUGAAGGUGGAAAGCUGAACCUGCUACCAUCUCCUUUAUCUAUAGGAGUCCUGCAAGAAAUUGCACGAAGAUGCAGCUCAAAGGUUGAAUUUAAGUCUGUUCUUAGCACCAGUAAGGAUUUGCAGUUUUCUGUUGAGGUACUGUUCACUGGCGAGAAGAUAGGCGUUGGAAUGGGUAAGACUAGAAAGGAUGCCCAACAACAAGCUGCUGAGAAUGCCCUUCAUAACUUAGCUGAAAAAUAUGUAGCUUAUAUUGCACCUCGCUCUGGAGCUGCUGUAGACAGGGAUUUUAAUAAGCUUUCUCUUGGAAACGACAAUGGAUUUCUAUGGGAUACUAUCAAGCCUGGAUCAACAGAAGCAGUUAAAGAAGAUGAGCCGGCCAAAGAAAGCAGUUCCGAGGUGGGGAUUCUUAAAUGAUGCUUUCAGUAAUUGAUUUGAUAUUUUAUGCUCAAGAACAUAGGUGAUGCUUGGAUAAAGGGUAUGUGGGCAAAGACAUUUCCAGGUAAAGGUUAGUGGUUAUCUACUGAAAACCACUCCUUUUUCAAAUUUUGCAUUGGACCAAUGUGAUGGCUAAAACACUGAAAAAGGGGAGUGAGCUUACUCCAUGUCUGCUACUGCUGCAUGUCCAGCUCCAUUAGUUCAUUUUUUAAAAGGCUUCUGACAUUGAACCUGGGAGGACAUCUUCCACAGCAGUCAAUCAGCAAGUGCAAAAGCGUGCCAAUUCCCCGAGAUUGCAGCAAUCUUCUCCAAGUAAACGAUUGAAGGAAGAACUUCAGCAAGGUUCGCAAAACUCAACCCCUUCAUGGCAGCAAAAAAAUGGACAUUCAGAAGUUUCAUGAGUAUUGGGAGAUUUUUUAGAGCAGAGAAAAAGAAGAAAAACACAAGAAUAUAAGAAAAAAGUUUUCAGGCCGAAAAUUUGGCAAAUACAGUUGGAGAUAGCUCGUCCUUAGCUCACUCUAAAUUAGCAGCCAGGUAGCUAACACAGGUAGCUUCAUUCCCUUACGGCGACGAAGCUGUUGCCACCAAUGGAUCCUCUUCACCAACUUCUUAUUACCCUCAAUUUUCAUCUUGGGCUUUUUCUUUGAAUGGUGGCCACCCACAUGCCGUACUAGCCCCUCCACAAGACUUCCAGUCCUCCAUGUCUAAUAUUUGCAUCUUUCUUCUUGGAGUGGAACAUAUUUUUCAAUAGCUUCCAGUUGCUAUGGUGAUGGUGGUGGUGGUGGUGAUGAUGAUGAUGAUGCUGGUGAUGGAAGAUGAACCCUAACUUGUUUUUCAUCCUCCUCAAUCGUCCGAUGCCUUUUUCCGAGUCUGGCCUUUGGUUUGGUACAUUUGUUUUACUCCGACUUAGUCCAGUUCUUUCGGAACUGGAGCUACUUUGUCGCAUGCUUUUGUCAUCCUCUGCAGAGCUUGGAGUCAAAUACGAUCCACUUUCACUUUCUUGGCCUUGUGAGGAUGAAGGAUAUGAACUUGAUGAGCUGGUCUCUCCGGAAGACAUAAUUAUCUUUUGUUGGGCUUUCUUUCUUCUCUGAUUACCUUCAUCUGUCUGGUCCAGUAGAGUUGGCCUCAUGAUUAUCUGAUGUGUUAAUGGCUUUAUCUUCUUCCUCAUGUUUGACUCAUGAUUCAACUUGCGACUCAACUGUUGAUGAUGAUGAUCAUUAGAUGACAUGAGGGGUGGUACCAUUGAUCUCCUUUCUUCUCUAGUUGUUUCUUUCCUGACUGUGGGAUCAUCAUUCUGAUCGAGUGGCACCCUUAAGCCUUGAACAUAGCUAGUCCGUUGACUGGCACCACUAGCAGGUUGGCUCAUCGAUUCGAUUUUGUCCACCAUUGUCUUCACAUUCUGACCAGAAAAUCUACUCUCAUAAGCCUGACUCGCAAGCUGACCCGAUGAUUCAUUUCCACCCCAACUUGACUUGCCAAUACCACGACUCAUCUUGCUCUCCAAUAAUGCCAUAAACAAAGUGUUGUCAUUGUUUCUAACAGGAGUACUAGUCUUCAAAAGUUGCAAAGCCAAAAUGUGGGAAUCUAAUUGUUUAAUUGCUUUUGCUACUUCCUUAGAGAAGUCAUUAAUCUCUCUAACAUCAUCAGACUUUUUCCCAGUAGAAACUGAUACAAAUGAAGUGGAACAACCAACUGAACUCGUGACAAUAUUGCUUGGACUUGGAUUUGAUAUAUCGAAAUCAAUCCUUUUCCUUAUUAUUAUUUCGCCACCUUUCGUGUCGGAAUGAUCUAGGGCCUUCUCGAUUUUCUGUUCAUCACCAUUAUUAAUAUGGCUAAUUCUGUCCUCUUUGCUUUCAGCUUUGUUUGAUGUGACGCUUAGUCUGGAAACAACUACUUCAUGAGGAGAGUUUAACUUUGUGGCUUGCGGACUCUUAAAUAUACCUGAUUGAUCAUGACUCAUUGAAAGUAACUGAAAAAAAAAAAAAAUGAAGCAUGCAUUGAAUUUUUAUCAGAAACAUGAUAUGGAUAGUUGAAAUAAAUACAAAAUGGUAUGACAUGGUUAAUUUA
This is an RNA transcript of Humulus lupulus (European hop), 4732 nucleotides long. It is a transcript of the gene named RNA polymerase II C-terminal domain phosphatase-like 2, with no coding region annotated. The transcript has 18 exons. Lineage: Eukaryota; Viridiplantae; Streptophyta; Magnoliopsida; Rosales; Cannabaceae. The record is from RefSeq and is a predicted model, not a curated record.